UACGUAGGGGGCGAGCGUUGUCCGGAUUUAUUGGGCGUAAAGAGCUCGUAGGCGGUUCCGUAAGUCGAGUGUGAAAAAUCUGGGCUCAACCCAGUGGAGCACUCGAUACUGCGGUGACUAGAGUACGGUAGAGGAGUGUGGAAUUCCUGGUGUAGCGGUGAAAUGCGCAGAUAUCAGGAGGAACACCAACGGCGAAGGCAGCACUCUGGGCCGGUACUGACGCUGAGGAGCGAAAGCGUGGGGAGCAAACAGG
This 253-nucleotide ribosomal RNA is filed under the name uncultured bacterium. RNAcentral describes it as "partial 16S ribosomal RNA". It matches the Rfam family "Bacterial small subunit ribosomal RNA", at positions 524 to 776 of the family's 1533-position model. The record is from RNAcentral.